GUGUUGUAUGAAAGGAGAGAAGGUUAGCAUUCCCCUUAAUAAGGAUGUAAGAGGCCCUUGAGCCUUAUGACAUGCGUACAGUUAAGGCUUUGUCACCUACUUUGUGGCAUCUGACCACAGUUUUUU
This is a small nuclear RNA of Loxodonta africana (African savanna elephant), 126 nucleotides long. Lineage: Eukaryota; Metazoa; Chordata; Mammalia; Proboscidea; Elephantidae. The record is from Ensembl.